Molecule: microRNA precursor, 92 nt
Filed under: Medicago truncatula (barrel medic)
Lineage: Eukaryota; Viridiplantae; Streptophyta; Magnoliopsida; Fabales; Fabaceae
Description: miRNA gene30451
Rfam family: mir-395 microRNA precursor family
About the family: mir-395 was identified in both Arabidopsis thaliana and Oryza sativa computationally and was later experimentally verified. mir-395 is thought to target mRNAs coding for ATP sulphurylases. The mature sequence is excised from the 3' arm of the hairpin.
Source: Rfam by way of RNAcentral
GUAAUCCCUAGAGUUCCCUUAAACAUUUCAUUAAGGACUCAAUUUCUUCUCUUCAACCUUGUUGAAGCGUUUGGGGGAACUCCCGGAAUCAC